RNAcentral lists this ribosomal RNA (543 nucleotides) under uncultured archaeon. RNAcentral's name for it is "bacterial SSU rRNA". It matches the Rfam family "Bacterial small subunit ribosomal RNA", at positions 509 to 1050 of the family's 1533-position model. The record is from RNAcentral.
CAGCCGCCGCGGUAAUACGUAGGUGGCAAGCGUUAUCCGGAUUUACUGGGUGUAAAGGGCGUGUAGGCGGACUUGUAAGUCAAAUGUGAAAACCCCGGGCUUAACCCGGGAGGUGCAUUUGAAACUACGAGCCUUGAGAAUCGGAGAGGAUAGUGGAAUUCCUAGUGGAGUGGUAAAAUACGUAGAGAUUAGGAGGAACACCGGUGGCGAAGGCGACUAUCUGGCCGAUAACUGACGCUGAGGCGCGAAAGCGUGGGGAGCAAACAGGAUUAGAUACCCUGGUAGUCCACGCCGUAAACGAUGGAUACUAGGUGUAGAGGGUAUCGACCCCUUCUGUGCCGCAGUCAACACAAUAAGUAUCCCACCUGGGGAGUACGGCCGCAAGGCUGAAACUCAAAGGAAUUGACGGGGGCCCGCACAAGCAGUGGAGUAUGUGGUUUAAUUCGAGGCAACGCGAAGAACCUUACCAGGAUUUGACAUCCUCUGACAGCUGUAGAGAUACAGAAUUCCCUUUUGGGACAGAGAGACAGGUGGUGCAUGGCC